AAAUGAAACAUCACUGGAAAUAGUAAAUACAUGGAGUUUCACCUGCCACCUGGAUCAUUUCCUAUUUUUCUGCAGCCACUUCAGGGCGGGGACCCAGUAUCACGAAGCUGCAAGGUAAAAAGGAUCAAACCUUAACUGCCUACAUGUGCUCACAGGAACAUAAGUGAGUGAGGCUCACCAGCAACCAGGAAGUGAGCUGAGCCUAACAUAUGGGAGAGAUCCUGUCUCAUCUGCAGGGAAGAGCUGCUAUAUAGGAAAGUAUCUGCUCAUUGCUGCCAUGUGGGAAUGCUGGUAUUGCUGGACUUUCUGAUGUUUUAGGAGAAACUGCUGAUCUGUGCAUGAAGUCUGAUAUAUAAAGAUGAUACUAUAUUUAUGUGUCUAUGGAUAAAUAAAUAAUGUCAACUGGUUCCA
Molecule: long non-coding RNA, 411 nt
Organism: Homo sapiens (human)
Lineage: Eukaryota; Metazoa; Chordata; Mammalia; Primates; Hominidae
Source: Ensembl